Molecule: unclassified non-coding RNA, 278 nt
Filed under: uncultured fungus
Lineage: Eukaryota; Fungi
Description: partial contains small subunit ribosomal RNA, internal transcribed spacer 1, and 5.8S ribosomal RNA
Rfam family: Eukaryotic small subunit ribosomal RNA (bases 1-73)
Source: RNAcentral
CCAAACUUGGUCAUUUAGAGGAAGUAAAAGUCGUAACAAGGUUUCCGUAGGUGAACCUGCGGAAGGAUCAUUAAAAAUAUCUCAUCUAUGUGAUGAAAUACCUCGUGUGCAAUGUAUAUAUAAAAAAGAAAAGGGAUGGAAUGUAAUGUUCCAUCUUUUUUUUUUUUAAAAAUAUAUGUAUACACCAAUUAAACUUGUGAAUAAAAAAAUUUAUUUUUAAAACAAAUACAACUUUCAACAACGGAUCUCUUGGCUCUCGCAUCGAUGAAGAACGCAGC